ACGUAGGGGGCUAGCGUUAUCCGGAUUUACUGGGCGUAAAGGGUGCGUAGGUGGUCCUUCAAGUCGGUGGUUAAAGGCUACGGCUCAACCGUAGUAAGCCGCCGAAACUGGAGGACUUGAGUGCAGGAGAGGAAAGUGGAAUUCCCAGUGUAGCGGUGAAAUGCGUAGAUAUUGGGAGGAACACCAGUAGCGAAGGCGGCUUUCUGGACUGCAACUGACACUGAGGCACGAAAGCGUGGGUAGCAAACAG
Molecule: ribosomal RNA, 250 nt
Filed under: uncultured bacterium
Lineage: Bacteria
Description: partial 16S ribosomal RNA
Rfam family: Bacterial small subunit ribosomal RNA
Source: RNAcentral